UACGUAGGGUGCGAGCGUUGUCCGGAAUUAUUGGGCGUAAAGAGCUCGUAGGCGGUGUGUCACGUCGGCCGUGAAAACCUGGGGCUUAACUCUGGGCGUGCGGUCGAUACGGGCAUCACUAGAGUUCGGCAGGGGAGACUGGAAUUCCUGGUGUAGCGGUGAAAUGCGCAGAUAUCAGGAGGAACACCGGUGGCGAAGGCGGGUCUCUGGGCUGUAACUGACGCUGAGGAGCGAAAGCAUGGGGAGCGAACAGG
This 254-nucleotide ribosomal RNA is filed under the name uncultured bacterium. Its description in RNAcentral is "partial 16S ribosomal RNA". It matches the Rfam family "Bacterial small subunit ribosomal RNA", at positions 524 to 776 of the family's 1533-position model. The record is from RNAcentral.